Molecule: long non-coding RNA, 217 nt
Filed under: Mytilus galloprovincialis (Mediterranean mussel)
Lineage: Eukaryota; Metazoa; Mollusca; Bivalvia; Mytilida; Mytilidae
Source: RNAcentral
GCUUGUGAUUGGACUCUUAGGUAAAGUGAGUCACUUGGUAAUUGUUGCUCAUUAAAUGUGUUAUAAAAGGUCAAUAUAAACUAUUUCUCAGAAGAAUAUCACACACAGCACAUGUUACUUUACAAUUGUACAAUGACUUGCUUCAAUUUAUUAUUGUUAUUGGCCAUUAUCUACAAAAGGGUGUCUCCGAUUUCAGAUAGAAUGUAUAGACCAAAUU